AAAUAAUAGCCCAUGAACAAAACAUACAAAGUUCCUUUCAUCAAUGCCUGCUCAUUCUUUAUUUCUCUUGUUCCUUCUCCUUAGUGCUACCCAUCCAUGUCCCCUGAUCCUAACAGAGGCCGCCGGUGGCAGGUGGCAACUUCUGCAGAAAAGUAUUGGCAUAACAGCUAUGCACAUGCAGCUCCUCAACAAUGACCGUGUAGUAAUCUAUGAUCGAACAGACUUUGGCCGCUCAAAUCUAUCUCUACCAGAAGAAAAGUGCCGGCAUGAUCCUAACGAGCUCGUGCUCAAAACUGAUUGCACUGCUCACUCGGCGGAGUAUGAUGUUUUGAACAACACAUUUCGGCCUCUUAUGGUCCUCACCGACGUUUGGUGUUCUUCCGGUGCUGUAAUGUCCAAUGGGAGCCUGAUUCAAACAGGUGGUUUCAAUGACGGUGAUCGUAGGAUCAGAGUUUUCACGCCAUGCAGUGACUGCGAUUGGGUAGAGGUGGGAGAUGGGCUUAUUGCAAGAAGAUGGUAUGCGACCAACCAUAUAUUGCCAGAUGGUAGUCAAAUUAUUAUCGGUGGGAGAAAGCAAUUCAACUACGAAUUUUAUCCUAAAAAUGGUGCUCCAAAUUUGUAUAAUUUGCCAUUUCUUGUUCAGACUAAUGAUCCUGGUAUCGAGAAUAAUCUUUACCCAUUUGUUUUUCUCCAUAUUGAUGGUAAUUUGUUCAUUUUCGCAAAUAAUCGAGCGAUAUUGUUCGAUUACAAGGGCGGUAAGGUGGUGAAAACUUACCCAACAAUCCCUGGAGGUGACCCACGGAGCUAUCCAAGCACAGGUUCUGCGGUCUUGCUUCCAUUGAAGAACUUGCAAGGAACAGAACUUGAGGCUGAAGUUUUGGUUUGCGGGGGUGCACCAAAAGGUUCCUAUAUCCAGGCCACAAAAGGUGACUUCGUUAAAGCAUUAGAUACCUGUGGGCGGAUCAAGAUAACCGAUUCGAAUCCACAAUGGGCCAUGGAGAGCAUGCCUUAUGCCAGAGUCAUGGGUGACAUGAUACUGCUUCCAAACGGCAACGUUUUGAUCGUCAACGGUGCUGGAGCUGGUUCUGCUGGAUGGGAAUUGGGGCGGAACCCAGCAUUGAACCCAGUCAUAUACAGACCCGAUGGGAAAGCUGGCUCAAGAUUCGAGUCACAAAACCCAACCACCAUUCCAAGAAUGUAUCAUUCCACAGCAAUUUUGCUGAGGGAUGGAAGGGUUCUUGUUGGUGGCAGCAACCCUCACGUAGACUACAACUUCACAACACCCUUGUUUCCAACUGAAUUAAGGUUAGAGGCAUUUUCUCCUCCAUAUUUGGAUACAGAAAAUAACAAUUUGAGGCCAAAAAUUGUGUCUCCAUCAUCCAAAGCUACAAUUGGGUACGCAAAGAAACUAGUAGUCCGGUUCCAGGUGGGAGGCACACUAGCUGAGAAACUGGUGUCGGUGACAAUGGUGUCACCUUCAUUUACAACACAUUCCUUCUCUAUGAACCACAGAUUGUUAUUUCUUGGGAACGAGAAAGUGACAAAUGCAGGAACGGCGACGUAUGACAUUCAGGUGACCACCCCACCUUCGAAAAACCUUGCGCCGUCGGGAUAUUACCUGUUAUUUGUUGUUCAUCAGGAUAUUCCAAGCGAAGGCAUUUGGGUCCAAAUAAGGUGAUAUUUUGCAUCUGUUAUACAUAUAAUUUUCCUACACGUAUAUUAUUUGUAACCAAAUAAAUUAGUUCCUGUACACUUAUGUAGGUAAUUGUAAUUAUCGUUACAUAGCAUUGGGUUAUGAAGAUUGUAAUUAGUUAAUAAACAAAUAAA
RNAcentral lists this unclassified non-coding RNA (1827 nucleotides) under Hevea brasiliensis (rubber tree). Lineage: Eukaryota; Viridiplantae; Streptophyta; Magnoliopsida; Malpighiales; Euphorbiaceae. The record is from RNAcentral.